RNAcentral lists this transfer RNA (74 nucleotides) under Deltaproteobacteria bacterium. RNAcentral's name for it is "tRNA-Lys". It matches the Rfam family "tRNA". From Rfam's summary of the family: Transfer RNA (tRNA) molecules are approximately 80 nucleotides in length. Their secondary structure includes four short double-helical elements and three loops (D, anti-codon, and T loops). Lineage: Bacteria; Pseudomonadati; Myxococcota; Myxococcia. The record is from RNAcentral. RNAcentral also lists the same sequence under 1 other name.
GGGGCAUUAGCUCAACUAGGUAGAGCAGCGGACUCUUAAUCCGGAGGUUGCUGGUUCGAUUCCAGCAUGCCCCA